Molecule: long non-coding RNA, 932 nt
Filed under: Salmo salar (Atlantic salmon)
Lineage: Eukaryota; Metazoa; Chordata; Actinopteri; Salmoniformes; Salmonidae
Description: lncRNA (ENSSSAG00000085126.1, ENSSSAG00020077676.1, ENSSSAG00075030408.1)
Source: RNAcentral
AGGUGAUUGGGAUCUGGAGAGUGAGCUGUGUUCAGGGGAUCUAGGUGUUUGAGAGUGUGAGCUGGAAAGUGAGCUGCGUUCAGGGGAUCUACGUGUUUGAGAGUGUGAGUUGGAAGCAGACAUUCAAGACAAAGGUGUUAAAGUUGGGAGGUCCUUUCUUCAUCUCUGGAGGUGGCAGUUGUUGACUAUGACCAUCCACAGUCAUCAACAUGCUUUUUUUACCCUGAAGCUGUCGAAAAAUACUGUGACUUAUGAGGAUUUUGAAAAAGAUAUGAUGGCAGUACGUGAGCAGGGCGUCCAACUGCUCCGGUGUCAUCUGAAUGUUGGAUUGAAAGAUUCAGGCGAUGGCACACUUCAUCCAAAUUGCUGAACACUACAGGGUCAACCUCUGUGUCAGUAGACGCAGCUAACUGGAAGUAAUUGUCAGCCAGAGACUCCACACAAAAAAGUACAUCAUCAUUCAGCACUAGCAUUUUCAGCUAGGUUAGCCAACACUCUCAGAUCUCUGCUUAUCUCUUGAUUAAAAUUAAACGCAAUGUUUUAAAAUGCUGGCUUUUACUUUCAAGGUUUCCUUUCUCAUUAUCAUACAAAAGUGACAUAGUAAUUUGUGCUGCUGUAAGAAUACUAGUGGCAGUGAGGGAAGUUUUAUUGGAAUUCAGUAAUUGAGGACAGAAAGGAAAAAGCAUGGUUAACACCUUAGAGGUUUUGUAUACCAAACAAGGCUAGAAAGGUCCAUUUGAAGGUGCUACAUAAUAUACAUCCAACAAAUGCCUUGAUUUCGAAGUUCACAGAUGUGGAAGAGAAUUGCUCUGUUUGUGGUAAUAAAUCUGAAUUGCUGUGUCGCCUUUUUUAUGAAUGUAAUGUAAUACCCAAAUUCUGGAAUGAUCUUGUUGUAUAUUUCUCAAAUAAGUCUGUUUAACUUUACCUUGAGC